Molecule: long non-coding RNA, 434 nt
Organism: Cyprinus carpio carpio
Lineage: Eukaryota; Metazoa; Chordata; Actinopteri; Cypriniformes; Cyprinidae
Source: Ensembl
GUGGACUUAUCAUGGCCGCCGAAUGCCUGUAUUCGCAAGUACCUAGACCUGCUACUCAUUUGACCAAUUGAGCUUUUAGCAUACCUUACAGUAGUAAACAUAUGGAUGCAAAGUCCGUUUUCACGCGCCAAAUUUAAAUAUGCGGAAGCGGCAAGUUUUGGAAUAGUUCAUAAAUCACAUGGAUUACUCCUAAGGACGGUGAACUUUCUGCUUCAACGCCUUCCCAAGAAGAAACUGUCUGACAGUGAUAAAAGAAGCUCAAAUGAGACAUUUUGGGGAUUUUGACAUCUUGCGGUGCCUGUAUGUAGCAUUUGGCUUUGGAGUCGAAUGUGGAUAUACACUCUUAGGAAAAAAGGCUGAUGGGACCUAAAAGCAUAAAAACAGAGGGAUAUUUUUACUUCUCAAUAAUAGACUGUUGUGUGCAGUUCUUGACA